This 460-nucleotide ribosomal RNA is filed under the name uncultured bacterium. RNAcentral's name for it is "partial 16S ribosomal RNA". It matches the Rfam family "Bacterial small subunit ribosomal RNA", at positions 28 to 507 of the family's 1533-position model. The record is from RNAcentral.
GACGAACGCUGGCGGCGUGCUUAACACAUGCAAGUCGAGCGGUAAGGCCUCUUCGGGGGUACCCGAGCGGCGAACGGGUGAGUAACACGUGGGUGACCUGCCCUCAGCUCUGGGAUAAGCCUGGGAAACUGGGUCUAAUGCCGGAUAUGACCUUUCCUCGCAUGGGGUUUGGUGGAAAGUUUUUUCGGCUGGGGAUGGGCCCGCGGCCUAUCAGCUUGUUGGUGGGGUGAUGGCCUACCAAGGCGACGACGGGUAGCCGGCCUGAGAGGGCGACCGGCCACACUGGGACUGAGACACGGCCCAGACUCCUACGGGAGGCAGCAGUGGGGAAUAUUGCGCAAUGGGCGGAAGCCUGACGCAGCGACGCCGCGUGGGGGAUGACGGCCUUCGGGUUGUAAACCUCUUUCGACCCCGACGAAUUUGGACGGUAGGGGUAGAAGAAGCACCGGCCAACUACGUG